UAAAGCGUGCGCAGGCGGUUAUAUAAGACAGAUGUGAAAUCCCCGGGCUCAACCUGGGAACUGCAUUUGUGACUGUAUAGCUGGAGUGCGGCAGAGGGGGAUGGAAUUCCGCGUGUAGCAGUGAAAUGCGUAGAUAUGCGGAGGAACACCGAUGGCGAAGGCAAUCCCCUGGGCCUGCACUGACGCUCAUGCACGAAAGCGUGGGGAGCAAACAGGAUUAGAUCCCGUGU
Molecule: ribosomal RNA, 230 nt
Filed under: uncultured bacterium
Lineage: Bacteria
Description: partial 16S ribosomal RNA
Rfam family: Bacterial small subunit ribosomal RNA
Source: RNAcentral